UACGGAGGGUGCGAGCGUUGUCCGGAAUCAUUGGGCGUAAAGGGCGCGUAGGUGGCGGGACAAGCGUGCGGUGAAAGCUCGGGGCUCAACCCCGAGUCGGCCGUGCGAACUGUCUUGCUUGAGCACUGUAGAGGCAGGCGGAAUUCCGGGUGUAGCGGUGGAAUGCGUAGAGAUCCGGAAGAACACCGGUGGCGAAGGCGGCCUGCUGGGCAGUAACUGACGCUGAGGAGCGAAAGCGUGGGGAGCGAACAGG
Molecule: ribosomal RNA, 253 nt
Filed under: uncultured bacterium
Lineage: Bacteria
Description: partial 16S ribosomal RNA
Rfam family: Bacterial small subunit ribosomal RNA
Source: RNAcentral